GGGUUAGUAGGUUGGUCAUGCCUCUGGUAUGUACUGGUCUCACUGAUUCCUCCUUCCUGAUGAACCUUAAUGCCAUUCACUUGGUGUGACGGAGAUCCAGGACUUUUACCUUGAAAAAAUUAGAGUGUUUAAAGCAGGCAUAUGCUUGAAUACAUUAGCAUGGAAUAAUAGAAUAGGACUUUGGUUCUAUUUUGUUGGUUUCUAGGACCAAAGUA
RNAcentral lists this ribosomal RNA (215 nucleotides) under Campeiostachys nutans. RNAcentral describes it as "Elymus nutans partial small subunit ribosomal RNA". It matches the Rfam family "Eukaryotic small subunit ribosomal RNA", at positions 644 to 864 of the family's 1831-position model. The record is from RNAcentral. Lineage: Eukaryota; Viridiplantae; Streptophyta; Magnoliopsida; Poales; Poaceae.